Long non-coding RNA from Scophthalmus maximus (turbot), 2109 nucleotides. RefSeq lists it as uncharacterized. The record is from RefSeq and is a predicted model, not a curated record. The transcript is spliced from 3 exons. Lineage: Eukaryota; Metazoa; Chordata; Actinopteri; Pleuronectiformes; Scophthalmidae.
GUGCUAAUGGCUCCCAGGUCAGUUUCUCAUCGAAAUCGGCCGAGGGACCACACGCCUCGAUGGUUUUUAUUGUUAAGUUGUAAUUUUUUUUGUCUUUUCUUUCAAGAACAACAACAUUCACCUUUCGUUGGCCGGAGAAAGUAGGCUUCAUAUGUUUCGUGGCGUUGCCUCUCCGACAGACCAAACCGGCGAGCGCCGGAGCUGUCAACGCCAGUAUCCAUCACGGGAGUGAGUAAUGAGAAAGUUUACCUACCUGUCCCGACAAAAACACGGCUGGUGCUCGAAGGGACAAUUGAUCAUUUUGCGACGUUUAUGUGUUUACUCGACACUAUGUCGCCCGACCGAUUCAAACCCUGGCCCCGAAAGCACGCAGAGACAGUUACUGCCGUCUGAGGCUAUGAGACUGAAAUGUUUAAUCACCCCCAGACUGGAAAGACAAUAUGGACCAGAACUGAGGCAGGGUGACCGGUCCCCAACCCCAGUUCCCUCACCUGCCUGCUGAGGUGAGGCCCGGGGCACUGUACAUGGGGUUUCCGGUGACCUGGGUCCAUCACCAGACUGCGGAGCACGGUGACCCUCCAGUCUGACACCGAAUAAACCCUGCAGGUUGUCAGGAUGCUGAUGGAUGUUGAUGCUUUGGCCCCUGCUGACCUCACACAGGCGGAGGCCACACAUGGACUUCACAAAUAUGAGAGCAAUGUGCAUCCAUCACCUCGUGAGACGUACAACGGGGGCGGUUGCGGAUCGCCAGUGCUGAGGACCGUCUCUGAGGAUGCUUGAUGGCCAGUGGAAGGCUUGUUUGUCACACAGCUCUUCCUUUCUCAAGUGCAAAUGUCCAUUGUUCUGUGCAGCGCGACACGUGUUGUUAUUUCCCCGCACCGCUCAAAAGACAAAAGCAAGGCUUUUCAAAUCUGCCCAACGGAGGGGGCCGUGACCUCAGCCCGCCGCCACUACGCCGAGGGGGACAAACAAUAAACAUCCCAUGGUAGCAAAAGUGGGGAAAAACCCUCGUCUGAGUACGGCUCUGGUGACCUUGGCCUUGUUGGUAGACAACGUUAGCAGCAACAUGGCUGAGCAAGGAUCUUCUUGGUUAGACAACUAUCGCAGCUGGUAAAAAAUGUGAUUUAUUAUACAUUUUUUCUCUACCUAAGAUCACACUUAUGCUUCACAUUGUUGACAGCAUUGUUCUUAUUUCAUUUUUGGUCCUCUGACCUUCUGUAGGACAUAAUCACCACAGUAAGCAGCGCAAGUGAUCCACAAUGUGGAGGAACAUUUGGAUCUUUCAGUGAACAUCAGGUUGCUGCCAUCAGGAUAAUAAAUGAGAGAUACAAAAUAUUGGCACACUAUAGACCCUGGCAGGGGGGCAUAUAAACACAAAGGUGAGGGCUAAAUAUUUCCAUUAAAUAAAUCCAGAGGUGUGUUCCACAUGCUGUGAGAGAAACCCGUCUUGAAAUAACAGUAUGAAAUUCCUUAUCGGUGUUGGUUCCAGCCACAGCGGGCAGCUAUUUUGAUAAUAAUAAUAAUUUUAAUAAAAAAAAAACCUGUCCCUGCCCAGCAACAAAAGCACAGACAUUUUUUUUUUCCAGACAAAAUAGCCAGGAGGAGGUGAAAAUUGAAAGGUGUGUGAGGAGUUACAUUCAUCAGGUGACCAUAAAUGUGCCGGCUGGAUAUAAAAUAAUAAGCGGUUAUUGUCUAACUAGUGAGUUACAUCAACUUAAAAGGUGAUGAUAUGUCCACAUUUGCCCCCCCCCAAAAAAUAUGUUAAUGCAGCAUAAACAACAUAAAACAACAACAACCAAUAAACCUAUUUUCUUCAUUCUAAUCCCAGUUUUAAUUCAUACGGCUUCUGCAGCGCUCCAGUUUCCCCCGCAGUGUCAAUUUUAUUCAACACAAUCAAUAACAAGGCAUGGCUCGUAGAUCCUGAAUAGAUUUUCCCGGCCCAACAGUCAACCAGCAGCAAAACGCCCCUCGUGUUUACAGUGGGAAACCCCUCCUGCUUCUCUCGGCCGAUGCCGAGUUAUCACUUUUGCUCUUCCCGCGCGUCCUCGCCGGUGCCAUCUGCCCCAAGACGUGCAGCUGAAGCCUCCCGGAACACGCGCGGAGGGAGGG